UUAAAAAGCUCGUAGUUGGAUUUCGGAGUGGGCCAGUUGGUCCGCCGCAAGGUGUGUUACUGACUGGUCUGCUCUUCUUCGCAAAGACUGCGUGUGCUCUUUGUUGAGUGUGCGUAGGAUUAC
RNAcentral lists this ribosomal RNA (123 nucleotides) under uncultured marine eukaryote. RNAcentral describes it as "partial 18S ribosomal RNA". The record is from RNAcentral.